GACAAGUAAUAUCUUAAAAAAAGUAUUUUAUUUACAUUAAAAAGUUCAUUUCAUAAAAUGUUACUUGA
RNAcentral lists this transfer RNA (68 nucleotides) under Lycostomus sp. YXY-2021. RNAcentral's name for it is "tRNA-Val". The record is from RNAcentral. Lineage: Eukaryota; Metazoa; Arthropoda; Insecta; Coleoptera; Lycidae.